UCCGUGUUCACCACGGCAGUCUCCUGAGAGUGCCCAACUGAAUGGUAGCAACUCAGGACAAGGGUUGCGCUCGUUGCGGGACUUAACCCAACAUGUCACCACACGAGCUGACGACAGCCAUGCAGCACCUGUCUCUCUGCUGUAUUGCUACAGAAACCGUAUCUCUACGGCUGUCAGAGGAUGUCAAACCCAGGUAAGGUUCUUCGCGUUGCUUCGAAUUAAACCACAUGAUCCACCGCUUGUGCGGGCCCCCGUCAAUUCCUUUGAGUUUUAGUCUUGCGACCGUACUUCCCAGGCGGGGAACUUAGUGCGUUAGCGCCGGUUCAGCAGGGGUCAAGACCCACCAAACCUAGUUCCCAUCGUUUACGGCGUGGACUAC
RNAcentral lists this unclassified non-coding RNA (379 nucleotides) under uncultured Oligoflexales bacterium. RNAcentral's name for it is "contains 16S-23S intergenic spacer region". Lineage: Bacteria; Pseudomonadati; Bdellovibrionota; Oligoflexia; Oligoflexales. The record is from RNAcentral.